RNAcentral lists this ribosomal RNA (466 nucleotides) under uncultured bacterium. RNAcentral describes it as "partial 16S ribosomal RNA". It matches the Rfam family "Bacterial small subunit ribosomal RNA", at positions 28 to 507 of the family's 1533-position model. The record is from RNAcentral.
GACGAACGCUGGCGGCGCGCCUAACACAUGCAGGUCGAACGAGCGAGAGAGAGCUUGCUUUCUCGAGCGAGUGGCGAACGGGUGAGUAACGCGUGAGGAACCUGCCUCAAAGAGGGGGACAACAGUUGGAAACGACUGCUAAUACCGCAUAAGCCCACGACCCGGCAUCGGGUAGAGGGAAAAGGAGCAAUCCGCUUUGAGAUGGCCUCGCGUCCGAUUAGCUAGUUGGUGAGGUAACGGCCCACCAAGGCGACGAUCGGUAGCCGGACUGAGAGGUUGAACGGCCACAUUGGGACUGAGACACGGCCCAGACUCCUACGGGAGGCAGCAGUGGGGAAUAUUGCACAAUGGGGGAAACCCUGAUGCAGCGACGCCGCGUGGAGGAAGAAGGUCUUCGGAUUGUAAACUCCUGUUGUGGAGGAAGAUAAUGACGGUACUCAACAAGGAAGUGACGGCUAACUACGUG